Molecule: ribosomal RNA, 253 nt
Filed under: uncultured bacterium
Lineage: Bacteria
Description: partial 16S ribosomal RNA
Rfam family: Bacterial small subunit ribosomal RNA
Source: RNAcentral
GACAGAGGUUGCAAACGUUGUUCGGAAUUACUGGGCAUAAAGCGCACGUAGGCGGUCCACUAAGUCAGGUGUGAAAUCCCCCGGCUCAACCGGGGAAUUGCGCCUGAUACUGGUGGGCUCGAGGUCGAUAGGGGUGAGCGGAACUCCAGGUGGAGCGGUGAAAUGCGUAGAUAUCUGGAGGAACACCGGUGGCGAAGGCGGCUCACUGGAUCGAAUCUGACGCUGAGGUGCGAAAGCUAGGGUAGCAAACGGG